UACGAAAGGGGCUAGCGUUGUUCGGAAUUACUGGGCGUAAAGCGCACGUAGGCGGCCUUGUAAGUUGGGGGUGAAAUCCCCGGGCUCAACCCGGGAACUGCCUUCAAGACUGCAAAGCUAGAGGAUGCGAGAGGUUGGCGGAAUUCCGAGUGUAGAGGUGAAAUUCGUAGAUAUUCGGAAGAACACCAGUGGCGAAGGCGGCCAACUGGCGCAUAUCUGACGCUGAGGUGAGAAAGCGUGGGGAGCAAACAGG
RNAcentral lists this ribosomal RNA (253 nucleotides) under uncultured bacterium. RNAcentral describes it as "partial 16S ribosomal RNA". It matches the Rfam family "Bacterial small subunit ribosomal RNA", at positions 524 to 776 of the family's 1533-position model. The record is from RNAcentral.